RNAcentral lists this ribosomal RNA (497 nucleotides) under uncultured bacterium. RNAcentral's name for it is "partial 16S ribosomal RNA". It matches the Rfam family "Bacterial small subunit ribosomal RNA", at positions 28 to 507 of the family's 1533-position model. The record is from RNAcentral.
GAUGAACGCUGGCGGCGUGCCUAAUACAUGCAAGUCGAGCGAACGGACGAGAAGUUUGCUUCUCUGAUGUUAGCGGCGGACGGGUGAGUCACACGUGGAUACCCUCCCUAUAAGACUGGGAUCACUUCGGGAAACCGGAGCUAACACCGGAUAAUAUUUUGCACCGCAUUGUUCAAAAGUGAAAGACGGUCUUGCUGUCUCUUAUAGAUGGAUCCGCGCUGCAUUAGCUAGUUGGUAAGGUAACGGCUUACCAAGGCAACGAUGCAUAGCCGACCUGAGAGGGUGAUCGGCCACACUGGAACUGAGACACGGUCCAGACUCCUACGGGAGGCAGCAGUAGGGAAUCUUCCGCAAUGGGCGAAAGCCUGACGGAGCAACGCCGCGUGAGUGAUGAAGGUCUUCGGAUCGUAAAACUCUGUUAUUAGGGAAGAACAUAUGUGUAAGUAACUGUGCACAUCUUGACGGUACCUAAUCAGAAAGCCACGGCUAACUACGUG